This 400-nucleotide ribosomal RNA is filed under the name uncultured bacterium. RNAcentral's name for it is "bacterial SSU rRNA". It matches the Rfam family "Bacterial small subunit ribosomal RNA", at positions 358 to 774 of the family's 1533-position model. The record is from RNAcentral.
GGAAUAUUGGGCAAUGGGCGCAAGCCUGACCCAGCGACGCCGCGUGAGGGAAGAAGGUCUUCGGAUUGUAAACCUUAGUCAACAGGGACGAAGCAUGACGGUACCUGUGGAGGAAGCCACGGCUAACUACGUGCCAGCAGCCGCGGUAAUACGUAGGUGGCGAGCGUUAUCCGGAUUUACUGGGCGUAAAGGGUGUGUAGGCGGGACGGUAAGUCAGAUGUGAAAACUAUGGGCUUAACUCAUAGCCUGCAUUUGAAACUGCUGUUCUUGAGAGUCGGAGAGGUAAAUGGAAUUCCCGGUGUAGCGGUGAAAUGCAUAGAUAUCGGGAGGAACACCAGUGGCGAAGGCGAUUUACUGGACGACCACUGACGCUGAGACACGAAAGUGUGGGGAGCAAACA